Molecule: long non-coding RNA, 707 nt
Organism: Eubalaena glacialis (North Atlantic right whale)
Lineage: Eukaryota; Metazoa; Chordata; Mammalia; Artiodactyla; Balaenidae
Exons: 4
Source: RefSeq, a predicted model, not a curated record
ACCGUGGAAUGGAAAGGUUCUGUCUGCACUUUGGAGUUCAGCCCCUCGUCUCUGGGGUGCGGGUGGGGUUUUUUGGACCUCACCUGCGGAGGCCUUUGCGCUCCUUCGGCCCCACCGCGUGGAAGGCAGGACCCGCAAGGUCGGCGGAGAAGGCCAGUAACCUAAAAUGCAGAGUGGAGCCACUGAACUUCACUGGUAUCUGAAGCCAUACUGCCAAUGGACAAAAAAAUGCAGAGCACCUCCUGCCCCUUGGCUCAAAAUGUCAGUCACUGGGAGAAGGCAGUUACUUCUGAUGAGUGUUCACAGGGAUUUGGCCCCCUUGAGGAGACCUGUCCUGAGCAGCAGGCCCUGGAAGUCCUACCUGGAGAGAGACGGAACAGGAUGUGGGUACAUGAUUCACCUAGCAGAGAGAAGGUCAUAGUAGUGAUGGGAGAUGAAGAGCGAGAUCUGGAUGGAGAAGAAUGGGUUCCAUCCAGUGCCUAGGAAGGGCAGAGCUUGGCAUGUUGAGAAGAUUUUGGCAUCAGCUUUCGAUUCACCAGUUAUUCAACAUUGGCCCAUAGUCAUCCAGCCUGAAAACGUCAUUCCUUUUUCUUGGGUCCUGCAAAAGAGAGGUGGGGAGCUAGCAGUCAUCCUGCUUAUGAGAGUUUCCCAGUGGUUACUGUUGAGGGCAUCUGGCAAUCAUAAGAACCACAAGGGCUAAUCCAGCC